CUGCAUUGUAGGCAUGGGAGGGAGUAAGAUUUGGCACAGGAUGAGAGUGGUGUAAAGCAAAGUGGGUGGUAGCUGGGCUAGCAAAAGAAGGCCUGUUACAAGAUUGCACAGUGGCAGCCGGAAGAGCAGGGACUGCCAGCAUGGAAUCUAUCUUCGGCAGUCCAAGUCCACGUGAUGAAGAGGGAAGGACUUGGAAUAAGAGAUGAAUGGGAAGCAUUUCAACAGUACAACGGUCAUCCUCAAAGAACUUGUGACAAGGACUUUGCUGGUUGUUUUGAAACUAUAAAUUUGGACAGACCAGGGUACAUUUGAAAGAAAAUGUGGAAGGUUCUUGUGGCAGGUUUGAUUAUCCAUCCAUCCAUCCAUCCAUCGCCUACAACCACUUGUCCCGAGCGGGGUCACGGCGAGCUGGAGCCUUUUCCAGCAACACAGGAUAUAAAGCUGAAGGGGGAGGGAACACAUCCAGAACGGGAAGGUCAAGAGUACUUUGGGCAGGUCGCUGAAGCGACUCAAGAGAUUUCACAAGGGUGUUGUCACAUCCACACCCACAACUCAACUGACAACACCUGACUCUGCUCCAGCACCUGAUUAACCGCUCACCCUUUAAAAGACCCUCCUCAGCUCCCAUACCUUUGUGGAAUCUCAUCAGGGACAACCGUCCUUCCUUGUGACUCCGCGCUCAUACGCAUCUCCAGUUCUCAGUUCACGUUCUCCGGUUUUGACCCCUAGCUUUGUUUCUCGACCACGUCCACGGAUCUUCGUUUCAACUCCGAUUGCCGUUCGACCGACUCUUCGCUUCGUCUCCUGACCUCGUCCAUGGAUUCUCGCUCUGACCCCGACCGCCGAUCGACCGACCCUCCACCUGUCUCCUAUACCGAGAACUUGCCUGAUCCUCUGCCUCCAGAUGAACAACGCCGCACUUGAGUCUUUCCGUCCCGGUUCUCUUGGCCUGCCGUGACAGGUGUGAACACUUCUGCAAGUUACUUGAAUCUGAAUUAUUUAAAUAAUUGUUUGAUUAAAGUUUGAAAACUUGCAGUGUCCGUAUAUUUUACUAACUGCCAG
This 1062-nucleotide long non-coding RNA is filed under the name Scleropages formosus (Asian bonytongue). RNAcentral describes it as "lncRNA (ENSSFOG00015027238.1)". The record is from RNAcentral. Lineage: Eukaryota; Metazoa; Chordata; Actinopteri; Osteoglossiformes; Osteoglossidae.